AACGAACGCUGGCGGCGUGCUUAACACAUGCAAGUCGAACGCGAAAGGGGCUUCGGUCCUGAGUAGAGUGGCGCACGGGUGAGUAACGCGUAAGUGAUCUACCCCUGUAUCUGGAAUAACUAUGGGAAACUGUAGCUAAUACCGGAUACGUUCAUGUAGUUGCGAUUAUGUGAAGAAAGAUGGCCUCUGGCUCAAGCUAUCGUACAGGGAGGAGCUUGCGUACCAUUAGCUAGUUGGUAGGGUAAGGGCCUACCAAGGCAACGAUGGUUAGCGGGUCUGAGAGGAUGAUCCGCCACACUGGAACUGAAACACGGACCAGACUCCUACGGGUGGCAG
This 336-nucleotide ribosomal RNA is filed under the name uncultured Pseudomonadota bacterium. Its description in RNAcentral is "bacterial SSU rRNA". It matches the Rfam family "Bacterial small subunit ribosomal RNA", at positions 29 to 351 of the family's 1533-position model. The record is from RNAcentral. Lineage: Bacteria; Pseudomonadati; Pseudomonadota.